GAUGAAGAACGCAGCGAAAUGCGAUAAGUAAUGUGAAUUGCAGAAUUCCGUGAAUCAUCGAAUCUUUGAACGCACAUUGCGCCCCCUGGCAUUCCGGGGGGCAUGCCUGUCCGAGCGUCAUUUCUGCCCUCCAGCCCGGCUGGGUGUUGGGCGCUGUCCCCCCGGGGACACGCCCCAAAGGCAGUGGCGGCGCCGCGUCGGGUCCUCGAGCGUAUGGGGCUUUGUCACCCGCUCGGGACGGACUCGUCGGCGCUGGUCUUCCUCCAGGCGACCCUUCGGGGCUCGUCUUCCUUCGGUUGACCUCGGAUCAGGUAGGGUUACCCGCUGAACUUAAGCAUAUCAAUAAGCGGGGA
This 353-nucleotide unclassified non-coding RNA is filed under the name soil metagenome. Its description in RNAcentral is "partial contains 5.8S ribosomal RNA, internal transcribed spacer 2, and large subunit ribosomal RNA". The stretch from base 1 to 120 matches the Rfam family "5.8S ribosomal RNA", at positions 35 to 154 of the family's 154-position model. The record is from RNAcentral.